This 176-nucleotide ribosomal RNA is filed under the name uncultured bacterium. RNAcentral describes it as "partial 16S ribosomal RNA". It matches the Rfam family "Bacterial small subunit ribosomal RNA", at positions 118 to 291 of the family's 1533-position model. The record is from RNAcentral.
UGAGGAACAUGACCUUCGGCGGGGGAGUAGCCGGCCCAACGGCCGGGUAAUACCGCGUACGACCACUCGGGGACAUCCCCAGGUGGUGAAAGCAGCAAUGCGCCGAUGGAGUGCCUCGCGGCCUAUCAGCUAGUUGGUGAGGUAACGGCUCACCAAGGCGACGACGGGUAGCUGGU